GCCUGGGUGGCUCAGCCGGUUAAGCAUCCAGCUCUUGAUUUCCGCUCAGGUCAUGAUCUCACGGUUCGUGAGUUCAAACCCCACCUCGGGCU
Molecule: transfer RNA, 92 nt
Filed under: Felis catus (domestic cat)
Lineage: Eukaryota; Metazoa; Chordata; Mammalia; Carnivora; Felidae
Rfam family: tRNA
About the family: Transfer RNA (tRNA) molecules are approximately 80 nucleotides in length.
Source: Rfam by way of RNAcentral